Sinocyclocheilus grahami is the source of this 157-nucleotide long non-coding RNA. RefSeq lists it as uncharacterized. Lineage: Eukaryota; Metazoa; Chordata; Actinopteri; Cypriniformes; Cyprinidae. The transcript has 3 exons. The record is from RefSeq and is a predicted model, not a curated record.
AGCGAGGAAUGAAACUGCAGCGACUCCAGACUCAGAUCAGUCGCUGUGGAUUUUGGCGGUUUUUAUUAUCGUCAUCCUUCUCAUCCUCACCUUGAUCUGUUUCUUGUGUCGGAAAAAGAAACUCAGAUGUUUUCAGAGCAUCUUUCAUCUCACUGAU